UGGGGAAUUUUGCACAAUGGGGGAAACCCUGAUGCAGCGACGCCGCGUGAUUUAGAAGGCCUUCGGGUUGUAAAAAUCUUUUGUAUGGGAAGAUAAUGACGGUACCAUAAGAAAAAGCCCCGGCUAACUACGUGCCAGCAGCCGCGGUAAUACGUAGGGGGCUAGCGUUGUCCGGAAUCACUGGGCGUAAAGGGUUCGCAGGCGGAAAUGCAAGUCAGGUGUAAAAGGCAGUAGCUUAACUACUGUAAGCAUUUGAAACUGCAUAUCUUGAGAAGAGUAGAGGUAAGUGGAAUUUUUAGUGUAGCGGUGAAAUGCGUAGAUAUUAAAAAGAAUACCGGUGGCGAAGGCGACUUACUGGGCUCAUUCUGACGCUGAGGAACGAAAGCGUGGGUAGCAAACAGG
Molecule: ribosomal RNA, 402 nt
Filed under: Verrucomicrobiota bacterium
Lineage: Bacteria; Pseudomonadati; Verrucomicrobiota
Description: Verrucomicrobia bacterium partial 16S ribosomal RNA
Rfam family: Bacterial small subunit ribosomal RNA
Source: RNAcentral